RNAcentral lists this ribosomal RNA (1531 nucleotides) under Escherichia coli. Its description in RNAcentral is "bacterial SSU rRNA". It matches the Rfam family "Bacterial small subunit ribosomal RNA". The record is from RNAcentral. Lineage: Bacteria; Pseudomonadati; Pseudomonadota; Gammaproteobacteria; Enterobacterales; Enterobacteriaceae.
UUGAAGAGUUUGAUCAUGGCUCAGAUUGAACGCUGGCGGCAGGCCUAACACAUGCAAGUCGAACGGUAACAGGAAACAGCUUGCUGUUUCGCUGACGAGUGGCGGACGGGUGAGUAAUGUCUGGGAAACUGCCUGAUGGAGGGGGAUAACUACUGGAAACGGUAGCUAAUACCGCAUAACGUCGCAAGACCAAAGAGGGGGACCUUCGGGCCUCUUGCCAUCAGAUGUGCCCAGAUGGGAUUAGCUAGUAGGUGGGGUAACGGCUCACCUAGGCGACGAUCCCUAGCUGGUCUGAGAGGAUGACCAGCCACACUGGAACUGAGACACGGUCCAGACUCCUACGGGAGGCAGCAGUGGGGAAUAUUGCACAAUGGGCGCAAGCCUGAUGCAGCCAUGCCGCGUGUAUGAAGAAGGCCUUCGGGUUGUAAAGUACUUUCAGCGGGGAGGAAGGGGUAAAGUUAAUACCUUUGCUCAUUGACGUUACCCGCAGAAGAAGCACCGGCUAACUCCGUGCCAGCAGCCGCGGUAAUACGGAGGGUGCAAGCGUUAAUCGGAAUUACUGGGCGUAAAGCGCACGCAGGCGGUUUGUUAAGUCAGAUGUGAAAUCCCGGGCUCAACGGGAACUGCAUCUGAUACUGGCAAGCUUGAGUCUCGUAGAGGGGGGUAGAAUUCCAGGUGUAGCGGUGAAAUGCGUAGAGAUCUGGAGGAAUACCGGUGGCGAAGGCGGCCCCCUGGACGAAGACUGACGCUCAGGUGCGAAAGCGUGGGGAGCAAACAGGAUUAGAUACCCUGGUAGUCCACGCCGUAAACGAUGUCGACUUGGAGGUUGUGCCCUUGAGGCGUGGCUUCCGGAGCUAACGCGUUAAGUCGACCGCGGGAGUACGGCCGCAAGGUUAAAACUCAAAUGAAUUGACGGGGGCCCGCACAAGCGGUGGAGCAUGUGGUUUAAUUCGAUGCAACGCGAAGAACCUUACCUGGUCUUGACAUCCACGGAAGUUUUCAGAGAUGAGAAUGUGCCUUCGGGAACCGUGAGACAGGUGCUGCAUGGCUGUCGUCAGCUCGUGUUGUGAAAUGUUGGGUUAAGUCCCGCAACGAGCGCAACCCUUAUCCUUUGUUGCCAGCGGUCCGGCCGGGAACUCAAAGGAGACUGCCAGUGAUAAACUGGAGGAAGGUGGGGAUGACGUCAAGUCAUCAUGGCCCUUACGACCAGGGCUACACACGUGCUACAAUGGCGCAUACAAAGAGAAGCGACCUCGCGAGAGCAAGCGGACCUCAUAAAGUGCGUCGUAGUCCGGAUUGGAGUCUGCAACUCGACUCCAUGAAGUCGGAAUCGCUAGUAAUCGUGGAUCAGAAUGCCACGGUGAAUACGUUCCCGGGCCUUGUACACACCGCCCGUCACACCAUGGGAGUGGGUUGCAAAAGAAGUAGGUAGCUUAACCUUCGGGAGGGCGCUUACCACUUUGUGAUUCAUGACUGGGGUGAAGUCGUAACAAGGUAACCGUAGGGGAACCUGCGGUUGGAUCACCUCCUU